Molecule: long non-coding RNA, 669 nt
Filed under: Homo sapiens (human)
Lineage: Eukaryota; Metazoa; Chordata; Mammalia; Primates; Hominidae
Description: non-protein coding lnc-AMELY-14:1
Source: RNAcentral
AAAGAUUCAUUCCAAAAAGUGAUUCUGAUAAAAUAUGAAAGCUGUGACUUUACUGAUUUUCAUUUAAAGAAAGACUACCAAAGUGUGGGUAAUUGCAAAGGGCAGAAGAGCAGUUUAAUGGAUUUCAUCAAUGUUUAUCAACUACCCAGAGCAAAACUUGUCAGUGUAAUAAAUGUGGCAAAGCUUUAGAGUUGUGCUCAAACUUCAGUGAGCAUAAAAAAAAUUUAGUGGAGAGAAAUGCUACAAAUGUGAAGAAUGUGGCAAAGACUGUAGGUUGUUCUCAGAUUUUACUAUAAAAAAGAUAAUUCAUAUUGCAAAUAAUCCUACAAAUGUAAAGAAUGUGACAAAGCUUUUAAAAAGUUUUCAAGCCUUACUGAACAUAAAAGAGUCCAUACUGGAACAAAACCCUACAAAUAUAAAGAACGUGGCAAACAUUUACAUGCUCCUCAACCCUUAUUUAAACACAAGAGAAAUCAUACUGGAGGUAAACCCUACAAAUGUGAAGAAUGUGGUAAAGCCUUUAAGUACUUCUCAGACCUUACUAAUCAUAAGAAAAUUCAAACUGUAGGGAAACCCUACAAAUGUGAAAAAUGUGACAAAACAUUGAGCUUGUUUUCACAGCUCAUUGGACAUAAGAUAAUUCAUAGUAGAGAGAAGGUCCAUAAGUGU